CAACGGAUAUCUCGGCUCUCGCCACGAUGAAGAAUGUAGCGAAAUGCGAUACUUAGUGUGUAAUGCAGAAUCCCGUGAAUCAUCAAGUCUUUGAACGCRAGUUGCGCCCGAGGCCUCGGCCAAGGGCASGUCUGCUUGGGNGUCGCACUCCAAAAUUGCCCUCCCCUCGAGGAGCGUAGAUGGCCGUCCGUGUCCGCAAGUGGGGCGGUCGGCUGAAAUGAGCACGGGGUCCGUCGAUCCGUCGC
This 245-nucleotide ribosomal RNA is filed under the name Callitropsis nootkatensis (Alaska yellow cedar). RNAcentral describes it as "5.8S ribosomal RNA". The stretch from base 1 to 145 matches the Rfam family "5.8S ribosomal RNA". Rfam says of the family: 5.8S ribosomal RNA (5.8S rRNA) is a component of the large subunit of the eukaryotic ribosome. The record is from RNAcentral. Lineage: Eukaryota; Viridiplantae; Streptophyta; Pinopsida; Cupressales; Cupressaceae.